UACAGAGGGUGCGAGCGUUAAUCGGAAUUACUGGGCGUAAAGGGCGCGUAGGUGGUUAUUUAAGUCAGAUGUGAAAUCCCUGGGCUUAACCUAGGAAUUGCAUUUGAAACUAGAUGGCUAGAGUGCGGUAGAGGGAAGUGGAAUUUCCGGUGUAGCGGUGAAAUGCGUAGAUAUCGGAAGGAACACCAGUGGCGAAGGCGACUUCCUGGACCGUUACUGACACUGAGGCGCGAAAGCGUGGGGAGCGAACAGG
RNAcentral lists this ribosomal RNA (253 nucleotides) under uncultured bacterium. RNAcentral describes it as "partial 16S ribosomal RNA". It matches the Rfam family "Bacterial small subunit ribosomal RNA", at positions 524 to 776 of the family's 1533-position model. The record is from RNAcentral.